Schistosoma curassoni is the source of this 45-nucleotide non-coding RNA. The record is from Rfam. Lineage: Eukaryota; Metazoa; Platyhelminthes; Trematoda; Strigeidida; Schistosomatidae.
GUUCAGCCGACGAGUUCCAAAUAGGACGAAACGUGCAUCCUGGAU